ACGGGAGGCAGCAGUGGGGAAUAUUGGGCAAUGGGCGAAAGCCUGACCCAGCGACGCCGCGUGAAGGAAGAAGGUCUUCGGAUUGUAAACUUCUUUUAUAUGGGACGAAGAAGUGACGGUAGCCAAGGAGGAAGCCACGGCUAACUACGUGCCAGCAGCCGCGGUAAUACGUAGGUGGCAAGCGUUAUCCGGAAUUACUGGGUGUAAAGGGAGCGCAGGCGGGAUAGCAAGUCAGCGGUGAAAAUUAUGGGCUUAACCCAUAAACUGCCGUUGAAACUGUUAUUCUUGAGUGGAGUAGAGGCAGGCGGAAUUCCGAGUGUAGCGGUGAAAUGCGUAGAUAUUCGGAGGAACACCAGUGGCGAAGGCGGCCUGCUGGGCUCUAACUGACGCUGAGGCUCGAAAGUGUGGGGAGCAAACAGGAUUAGAUACCCUGGUA
The sequence is a ribosomal RNA, 436 nucleotides long. It matches the Rfam family "Bacterial small subunit ribosomal RNA", at positions 341 to 792 of the family's 1533-position model.